UUGCUAGAUUGUAAUCAGUCUUGGUGCUCCGUGACUAGAUUAUUUUCCUCGCUGAAACGUGGAAUGAUGAUUAUUUUAAUAAUGCUAAAUAAAACCUUCACUGGAUUUUGAAUAGGUAAAUUGGUUUGACCAUUGCUCACUAUGAAGAAAGUAUUUUCUCUGGGCCUCAGGGCCUUGUACUGAUGGCUGCUUUCCAAAUUUUUGAUAGAACUAGAAUAACCUGUCACUAUGGCUACCAGAAUUUAAAUUUACUGUUAUUAGAGGGAAGCUUACGAAUUCCCAAGCCACUCUGAAGUUGAAUCCAUGAACUAAAUCCGUAACUGCUCCCAUAGGAGCUGGGGAAGAAGCCCUGCAGAUUUCAGUGUUAUUCUCCCAUGUCAGGUUAGUGGAUUGGAUAACUUGACAGUCAUUUUUUUCUUUAAAAAAGAAAAUGAUUUAAUAUGUAGAGCAAUGCUGAUCUUUUUGUUUUCCUUUAUAGUAUAAUUUCUCUCUAAGCUAUUGUCUAGAGUGCUGCUGGAAUUCUUUAUACAAGGCAGAUAAUGUGUUUCUUCUGUGUAAGAGCUCACCAUGGACCUCUAAGGGCCUGAAAGUGCCAGUCUGGCUGCCUAACCUGGCCUUUAAGGUCUCCGAUCUGGCCCUGGGUGUGCCCCUGCAGUUCCUUUGGCCCGUCACCCUUGUGGACCUCUUGAACACUAGUCAUAUGGAACUAUUAUUGAUGGCUGCUGGCUGCACCAUCAGGUCACACUGCCGUGUCCUUGCCUAUUCUGAUAUGGGUCUCCAGGACCACCUGGUUCCCUCUGUCUACCUUUCAGUUCUGGGAAGUUUGUUUUUCCACACUAGUCUGGCAAUUCUGCCAGGAUGGCCUGUGUCUUACUUACAUCUGUCUUUCAGGUCAAGCACAGCGCACUCAAUAAUGUUUAAAAUCAAAGAUGAAGGUCACUCACUCAUUCUCUUUAGUUAAGAGAUUAGAACAUUGGAGAGAAUCUUGCCCAGUAAGAUUUUUUUCUAGAUAAAUUAUUUGUAGAGAGAGAUUAGAAACCUUUGACUACAUUUUGUGUUUUUAUGAGUACCAAAUGUACUUGAGUUCCAGAUACUAGUUUAGGAGCUAUAAAUGUGUUAGUUAGCUUUAUUAUCAUAACAACUAGUUGGGGUAGAUUUUUAUAUACAUUUUAAAGGAAUUGAGUAAAGAGAUUCCGAAAAGGUAGGGGGAGUUUGCACAAGCCCCCAGAUAGUAAAUAGAAAAUUACGUGUUUUUAAAGGCCACAUGACACCCGAAACUAGAUUAUAUAGACUGUAUUAUAGUUUAGAGAAAUGAUCCAUUUUGAUUUUUAAAGGUUUUACUAUGUAGUCAUAUUACCUUCCCCCAUUGUUCUGUUUAAAUGUUAUGUCUAUUUGUGGACAAUCUGUAAUAGAGCAAUAAUGAUAUCUAAGUCCAUUUUUCUCAGAAUGAUGCCAGUCUUCAAAAUAAAAAUAUUUGUACUGUUUUUAUAACAUGCGUCUGAAUCUUUUCUUAGAAUAACAAUAGAUGACCAUUACAAUCUCAUUUUUAUGGAAUAUUUUCCUGCAUCUGAGCAGUUCAAAGUGUUAGGCAAUGCAGUUGACCAUAGACUCUAGCUCCUUACCUGUAAAACUACUGUACUUCAGGUAAGUUCUCCUGUUCUUUAUUUGCCGCAUAUUUUCAAUUUACAAUUAAGGAAAAUGAUGAAAACAUCUCGAAUAUUUUUUACACCCCCAAGUAUUAAAUGCAAAAAUGUGUGUAUUUUGUAAUGAGGAGUGUGAACUGUAGGACAUAAAUCAGACUUGAGCUUUAACCACUUCAGUUUCCUUCAGAUACUGAGGAUAAAGAUGGUCCCUGUCUUGCGUGCCGGUUAGGAUGAGUGAAUGAGUUAAUAUCUACAAAAUGUUUAGGACAAAAUCCGUCCAAAAGUAGAAGCUAAAUAAAUGUUCAUUAUGAUGACUGAGGAUUUUUUUCUUUACAACUUUGUUUUUAACAUGAAGUGUUUUCAGAAAUCGAGUCAAUUCACAUUUCGUAUUUACAUUGAAUAAAUGAGUAGGAUAGGGAAGACCAUUCUUAGAAAACAAGCUCUGGGGUUACUGUCUCAUUCCUUCUCCUCCCCAACAUAUUUCUACCAAUCCUGGCCCCCCUUUUAAGAAGACAAAUUAACGAAUAAAAUAGGCUGUUUGAAUCGUACUCUUUUCUACCCCUCUCUUCCUUGGAUUCACUGCUGGCAGAUGCUAGUUUUUACAGUCAAUAUUAAUAGAGUGGUGGCAGCCCCUUUUUCAUUCUAGUAGGUACUUUGCAACUAUUGGUUAAAUGAAUCGGUGACUGUACAGUAAUGUGCCAGGUUUCUGGCUUCUUGACCUUCAGAGAAAGGAACUUACAGAGUUUUCUCAUACUUCAUAUACUGAAACAUAAAUAUUAAAGUAGAAGUCUCUCCCCAAACAAGAAGUCCUUAAUAUCUAUGUUACAACUAUGUCAUUUGCCUGAUAAAGUAGACAUAAAGAUAUUAGAAUUUAAAUCCCAGCUAACUUUUAAAGUAACUAUAUGUGUAUCUGAUACUGCUUUCAAAUAAUUACCUUAAAAUUUCAGAGGCAGCCCAGUGAACAGGCGGUGUGUGUUCUGUAAUACGAGCACUGGAGGACAUAGCAACCUGCCCGAGACAGUGCCCUGCAGAACCCCGGUCAGGACUGCACCGAGACUGGGAUUGCAGUCAAGUUCGAAUGCAGUCCCUGGGCAGGAUUUCACGCCCCAGCCUUGAACUACAUGCAGCAAUUACUUUAUAUCUUUUAAUGAGUCAUACUUUAGUCAUUCUUAGUCAGUGAAGUUGAAAAGACAAGAAAUAUUGGAGAGAUUAAUGUAGUGAUUUAAUGCUAAUCAUUGUCUUCUCCAUUACAUACUGAAAUACGGAGUAGCAAUGGUAGAGAAAUACUGAGUAAAUAUGGCAGUGCAUCAGAGCACUUAACCCCUUGGAUUUGGGAGAAAAGGUGGAAAGGCUUUUUGGAACUCUGCCCUUGGCUGAUAUUUAGGAAAACGACUAAUUGUCCCUUUUAUUUAUUUCAAAGUCGAGAGGUCUUUGCAAGUGUAAAUAUGGAUGCUGACAAAGUUUGGUAACACAUGGUUAAUUUGUGUUCUGAAAACCGGGAUAAAGGGGUAGUGUCUCUUUUUUUUUCUGAGAUUAAUGCCUGCUGUAAAUUUUGGCAGCAAUAGUUUAUUGCAGUAAGAUCAGUUCAAACAUAUUCAGGCUUAGUUUGAAUGAAAAUUGAGUUUGACUAAAGAAAAUUAUGUCCUUCUAAAUGAAAAUGAGCAGAUGUACAAAACGAACCUUAAAAUUAAUCUUGGAUUUACCCCUUCCUGCAUGCAUCAUUUCACAGAGAUAUGGAAAGUGACAAGGUGGGUGGGGGAGGCUGCUGCAUAUUCAGAGUUUAAAAAAAUCACUGCAGACCUAUUUGGGGGGCUUCAAAGGAGCAACUAUUAAGGAGAUGAAAUUGCUUUUCUGCUUAGAAAUAUGCAAAGAAAAUAUUCCUCUUCUCAAAAUCAUUUUACCUUUAACUUCUUACUACAUCAUUUUAAAAACUGUGAGUUCUUUGAAUUUAACACAAGUUUUAUUUCCCUGCCUGUUGUCUAACUGAAUGCUGUCUACUAUUUUAAUCAUGUUAAUCUACCACUUAGUGUAAAGCGCUGCUCUGUGCCUGCUGGAGAACAAAAGUGCUUUCUGCUCUUCCUUCUUCAGUGCACUGGCCUUCACAUCGGGCAUGGUCCCGCAGCAGCUAGGAGUUUUCCUACUAGCUGAUCAAUACAGUCAGAACCCUUUAUUUAGUGAGAUCAAUGCCAUGUAAUGAAGUCUGUGUUCCAAUUCCCUUCUAAGCAUCACUGCUGGUCUAGGAAGGUGUCUUUUUUUUUUUUACUUGCCCCCCCCCUGUUCGAAGCUCAAUCAAAGUUAUGUUUGAGUUUUUUCAUUAUUACUUGGGAUGGAGCAAUGCUUUUGAGCCCUCUUUAAACAUGCCCCACAAAACUAACUCGCCGGUACAUUCCAAAGUCAUGUCUGCUGAAGAGAGAAAUCAUGUGAGUUAAGAAAGAAAAUUGAGUAUCAGCAAAAUACUGCUGCUUCAGUUAAAAUCUAUGGCUUAAUCACAUGAGUGCUGAUAAAUGGUUUUGAGUAAAGUGUUUUGUUUAGUGAAAAUAUGCCCACAGGUUCGCAUCAUGCUUGUGGAAAGUAUAUGGAUUAUCGUAGGAUCAGAGAGGUGAUCUGUCAAUUAAGUGUUCUAAAUUCAUUUAUAUGCAGCAUGAAUAAAACAAAUUGGAAUCUAUUGUACUUCCCUUCUGAGUUAUACUUCGCUCAGGAUUCGCUCUUAGUGAGACUUUAAAUUGUUUUCAUCUUAACUUAAAAAAUAUUUAUAUAUUUGGAAGAGUGUUUUAAAGUAUUUGGGAUAUCAGUUUGCUAACAUUUUCAUCAAGAUCGGCAGACCUGAGGCCUGAAACUUGAUCUAUUAUGUAAAGUGCUAAAACUCAAUUUGUUACCUCAUUGGCUAUUGUUAAUGUAUUUUUAUAAGCUUUCAUCAUGACCUAACAAUAUCCUAAUACUGUUUUAGAUGAAAAAGUCUGUCUCAAUCAAGGUUAUACUAUUUACUAGAAAUUACUUGUUUUUAAAUAACACAGUUAAUUGAGGCCCAUUGGAGAAUUUCUGUUUUCUAGUUUCUAUUUUACUUGGUGUCAUAACACAAUGCUUAUAUUCUUAGGCAAGGCUGAAUUGAAGCACGUGACUUCUAGUGUGUUGAAAGAGUUCAAAUUAAGAAAGUUUGAAGAAAUCACCUUAUAAGGUAUUGAUUUAAAACAGUUUAUUUUCAGUGUUGUAUAAUGAGAAAAUUUAGUACUAACAGUUUUUAGGUAACCAUAGUUUACAAGACGGAGGAGUAGAAUUCUAGACUCAGAAGGCAUUUUGCAGAUGGCCGAGGCCCUCUAGGGGGCCCUCCUUUUUCCAUGGAGCCAUUAAUUAAAAAUAAAAGCUUAGCUACUUUAAUUUAUGUUGAGUUUGCUAAUAGGGUAAAAUGAGAUUGUUAGAACAAUCGAGGUAAUAAGAGUCAGUGUAAAGACGAGUAGGAAACCAAAAAAAAUCUGCUUGGAGAAAAAGCAUUUUUGAGCACCUGGUGUGUACAAACGCUGUAGUGCAAAUGUGCAUAGAAGUAGUUUUGUUCUCUGUCAGGUGUUCGUAACAUGGAGUUGUGGAGCACAGGUAACAUAGUAGAAGUAGUAGGGGCUCCUGGAAGUAGUGAUUUUUUUCUGUCUGGUGGAGGUUGGGAAAGGGUUCUGGGAGUCGUGGCAUUUGAGCUUGGCAUGAACACAUCGGAAUGAAGCAGAUGAACCAACUGGGAUUUUCUGCUGGGUGUUUCUCAGGUAUACAGUCCCAGGAGUAGAAGGGAGCCCAAGACUUUUAAGAUGUAAGUAGACCCCAGACCAGUGUGACUCGGUUGGUUUGGCAUCAUCCAGCAAAGCAAAGGGUGACUGGUUCAGUUCCCGCUCAGGGCACAUUCCUUAGUUAUGGAUUUGGUCCCUGGUGGGGUCGUAUACCAGAGGCAGCUGAUGGAUAUUUCUCUCUCACAUUGGUUUCUCUCCCUAUCUUUCUCCCUCCCUUCUGAAAAUAAAUAAAAUCUUUCAUAAAAGAUAAGAUUUUUGUGACUGUAAGUAACUAGAAGAUCGCCGGUACCAUUAACUGAAAUAAGCCCCAGACCAAAUUUCAAGAGUGGGAGGGAAGACAUCCUCCUCUCCUAAAACCUUAGCUCUUGCUUUGCUGAGUGAAGCGUGUACAGUUCCUGCACACCCUCAGCUGCACGCUUUUGCACGUCACUCUGACCCUUCUCCCUCCUCCUUCCCACUCUGCCCAGCUAACUUGGCUGCUCGUGAUUUUUUUACAGAACCCGGGCCAAGCGUACAGCUGUGUGCACAGCCACUGGGAUACGUGCUCUCCUGUCCCCAGUUAAACCUUUGGUGGUUUCGUUAAUGAGUGUGGUUUCAUUUCGUAGCACUACAGUGACCUUGUUUUUCUCUGUAACUCUAAUCCCAGCACACAGUUAAUACUCAGUAGAUUCCUGUUGGAUUAAUGAAAGAGGGUAAAGAAUGUUGAUUGUUGUGAAGAUAACCUAGGGGAGGACAUUAACCAGCAGUGACUUGGGCCUAGAUUUGGGGAAAAGGUUUGGGGCUCUCACGUGUUAGAAUUGGUGCUUUGGAGCCAGAAUCCAGAGAAGAGGAAAAGUGCUGAGGACUGAACUGUGGGACCCGUGACGUGGAGCCGAAGGAGGUCAGAGGGGAAAUCGGUACAACAUAAGCUACAGACAGAGAAACCCCCAGAGUGAAGGAGUGACCAAGGAGCUAAAAUACUGCAGGGAGGCCAAGAAAAAUGAGACAUAAUGAAAAGGUUGCAUUCAGUGAAUGGGCAGUCUCUGGGGCCCCUGAGACUAGUUUAAAUAGAGUGGUUAAGAUGAAAAUAUGUGUUUCUUUAAGAAAACAUUCACAUGUUUUCACAUGUCAUUUGUAAUGAUGUGCUGGACAAUUUAGUUUAUUUAGGUGUUUUCUAUUGACCUUUUACCCCGCAGUAACCAGAAGGCUAAGGAUUUCUUGUGGGCGUUUUUAGUUGAUUUAAAGCUGGUCAUUGGGUGAAACACAUUCUAAGUACCGGAUACUUAUGUGAAAGUGCACAGAAUAACAUUAGUGUUUCCCCAUGGUUUCAUGGGUUUCUCUAUUUGUCCUUGACUCAUAAUGAGCCUAAUAGCUGUAAGUUGUCACAGUGCCUAUGGUUACAGCCACAUUCCAUGAGAAAAAGUUAACACCUGUGGCCAAAGGGGCUUUUUCUUGAGAAGGGCUGAAACCUUUCCCAAACAAUUGAAUUUUCUAAUCAGGAAAUUAUCAAGGGGAAAUAAAAAGGUUAUCAAAGGAAAUAAAAAUGAUAAGACAUCUUCUUGAUUGAGUGAUGUCUGUCUGGGAUGUCCUAUAAAUGUUACGUCUGAGUAUUUCUUUACUUACUGUUCUUUUGUUCUUAGGUUUGCAAUUUAGGACGGGAUAGAUGGUGCGAUGAAGUUCCAUAGGUUUUCUGUCUGAGUUGGGCAUAAAUCAUGCCUUCCUUUUAUAUCUAGUUCUUUUAUAUUACGGCUCAUUUGUCUUCUUUAUUAUGGUCCUGUUUGUUUUCUACAUACACACAGGCUGUCUAGCCGUGUACUGUUGGGUGAAAUAUCAAUUUUGGUCAUAAACAGGCAUAUAUUUGUUUUAUAUUUAGAAAUAUGUAACAGCCAGACUUUUGAAGAAAACUAAGUGAUAUAUACAACUUAUCACAAUCUGUUUCUUUUCUAUUAUUGAAUAUUCUGUAAUUGCUUUGUUCAAGUUCUCAACUAGUCAUGUUUUAAAGCAUCCAGUCCAGGAACCUGCAUCCGGGAGAGGGCAUUUAAGAAAUACGUUGGACCUAUCCCUGUGAUAUGCCAUCUCAAAAUGACUGGGCCCCACACAUACACAUUCUGCAGACUGUUGUGUGUCUGUCUGUUGUUCCUCAUUGUGUAUGUGAGAGAGUGAUAUAAUUUAGCCCAAGUACGUAUGGAUAAUUAAAAAGUCCAUUUGGUUUAUGAAUUAGGUAAUAUGCAAAUUCAAUGCUGUGAAACAGGAACUAGAAAUAACAAUAACAUAAGAAAUGAGUUUAUUGCUCUCACAGGUAACCAUUUAGAAGUCGGCAUUCAGGGGAAGGUAGGAUGGCUUUGCUCCAUGAGGUCAUUCAAAGGUUUAGGCUCCUUCUUGGUUAUCGUUUUGCCUUCCUAGACCAUUGUCUUCAUUUGCAGUCAAGAUGGCUAACCGUCAAGUCUGCAGCCUAAGCAACAGAAAGGCAGAGAUGUACCUGCAUUUUAUUUAUUAUUAUUUUUUUAUUUUUUAGUGUUGUUCAGUUACAGUUGUCCCCAUUUUCCCCCGUUGCUCUCCCCUGCCUGUCCAGCCCCUGCUCCCAGAGACAGUCACCCCCCCAUGACCUGGAAGUUGCACAUACACCCUGGCAUCCCAUUGGCCAGAGGUUUCUUUUGAGGCCCAGCAACCUGCAGAAAGGCAGGGAAGUGACUCUUUAUUUUGAGCUGCACUGGACCCAGCUAAAAAUUCUCUUACUUUGAAAGAAGGUGAGAAUGAAUAUUGAGUUAUAGUUUCUGUCCUAGGGCACAAUAUACUUAGUGUAUCUAAAUUGCAAAAAUCCCAUUUAAUGUAUUUGCAUUAUUGUAGAUCAUUUAUUGAAUGUCCAUGCAAUAUUGCUCAAUAUUAAGUCAUCAUCAAAUGCUUUAUAAAUUAUUCAUACCUCCUUCAGUUGGAAAACUUGAUGAUCUCAAAUCCCAGAACUUUAAUCUCUGAGGAAUUUGGUUGUGUAGUAGACGGCAUUUAAUUACUGAUGGAAAUCCAUUUGUUUCUUAGCAGGUUGGGGUGGUCAGUAUCUGAUUACUUCUUGAAUAUUCUGUUUAUUCAUUCAUUUCAACUACUUAUUAAGCUUUCUUAAGUGGAGGUCCUGUUCCAGGCAGUGCGUGAGAUAUGAAAUGCACUGGACACAGACUCUGGCGUUAAGCUUUCUUUUUAUGGUUGUGCGUACCUCCCUGUGAAAAGCCGGCCUUGAUGAUAGUGGUUUUAUUUUGUGAAAAGCACCAGAGAAAUUGCCCAAAAGUCUCUUCCUCUCAUUUACUCAGUCUGCUCUGCAUUAUGUUCCCUGGUUGCUAAUGUGAGAAAAUUUUCUCAAAGGUUCGAAUUCUUUAUUUUCCUGGGAUUAUUUGUUGGCAUUGAAUUUUCUCAUGGGUGAGGAAGUUACCCCCAUUGUUGUCAGUUAGUCAUGUCAAGGAAUGAGGGGGAAAACUAUGUUUAUGUAAUUAAUGGUUUUUUCAAGAUUUGGAAGGUUCUUUUUUUAACGUAACAAAAUAUACUUUUAGCUAAUAAUUUAGCUAGGUAGUAACUUUUAACUAGUAAUUGAAGAAUUAAUCCUUUCUUAAGUGAUUGAGAUUUAAGUUUGCUGUUUAAUCAGACUCUAACUUCUGGACUUUGUAGAAUGAACGAUCUUAAGAAAUAAAAGGCCAGUUUUAAUACAAAGUAAUGGAAUACAUCAAUAACCAUUAAGGUAUACAGGCUAAGCCUCCCUUAGGUGCACUGUUUGGGUUUUAUUCUUAAAAUGCCAAACACAGCAAAACCUGGUAUGACCUUCACAUUGCUCCCAACCUAAAGUCACACACACACACACACAGAGCACACACACACAAAGCACUCAUCCAACCUUAAAUGUACUGCACUAUAAAACAGCAAAGAACACUGGCUCAUCUAGUUUUUUCUUUGUUUUGUGCAUUUUCUUUAAUGGGAUCUUUGGAACUUGUUCUUUUAACAGUCUUCUUUUGAAAUAGGUUGAUUGUUUUUUAUUACAUCGAAAGAGUGAAGACCAAUGUUGCUGUUACUAAAUGUCGUACAUACAACAGAAGAUGGAGCACCUUGCUUGGCUGUAAAAACAUUGGUGGCACAGUCAGCAUUUGUUCCUAACUCGUUUUUAUUGCAUGUCUGGCCUUUCAUGUCGUACUCUUCUUUCAACCUUGGUCUGCUCUCUGUUUAACAUAGAUAUAUGUGAAUAUUGAUUAUCAUGCAGACACCUCUUGAAUGAUAGAAUUGUAUCACUGAGGGAAAGAAGCAGGACUCAGUGGAGAAAGACAGGAAAGGAAGAAGUCUCUGUUCCCCUACACUUGGCAGGAGGACAGAUAAAAUUUAAAUAAAGAUGGAGAUAAAGCAUCACUAUUCUUUGCUCUUUAAAAAAAAUUAAGUCAAAGGGCUUAGGUUAGGGUACACGAAAAAGCUCUUAAAAUUUUUCUCAGGAUUGUGCUAUUAUUUAGGUGACAGGCAGCCUAACCUAUUAUAGGAAGAACAAUAGUCCGAGAGUCAGGAAACUUGGGUUUCAGGGUCAGCUCACCUACGGACUGCAGUGUCGGCUUUCUACGCGUGUCCUCUCACUGUGACCGUUUCUUAUUUGUAAAAUGCAGGGCUUGCACUAUGUGGUUUACUGAGAUUCCCCUCAGGUCUGUGAUUAUCCUUUUACUGGUCACUUUUAUCUUAAAAAUAGCACAGCAUAAAACAAAGGGUCAGUAUGUUGAAAGCCACAUUCUAUAGCAGCAGGAUGUGUGCACAUGUGUGUGUAACUAAUCUUACCUUAAGGCUACAGCCCCUUCUUGGUAGUUGAAACUCUUCAUGAACAAGAUGUAUGAUGUAGAGAGAUGUUAGGCUCUGGGCCCUGGGUUACACAGCAUGAAGCCUCUUUCUUUUGCAUUCUAGGAGCACUGACAUGUAAUCUCCGUGAACUGGCUCACAAGUGAAGUGGUUGGUGUGGCCAGCGCUACAGUAGCGUGUUCUCUAUGGGUGAGGGGCCAGGUGGCCAGCCUAGGUGGCAGUUCCCUAACCUGCUGGUUGUCAGUAUUUGUCCCAGUUGUAUAUUUUUCCUCCAGCCAUAUUCCCCUUGGAUCACGUGUCUGACCAUAUAGAUUUAGUUCACUUAAUUCAAGGUCGGUAUUUCCAGUCUCACUUAACCUUAUUUAGUCACUUUGGUUUUUACAAUUAGGUGAAUGGAUUUCCUUGGAGUGUCAUUGCUUCCCUUUUGGUAGUAGCAAUCAAUAUUGAUUUGAUGGGGAUAUUAAAUAACAGUAUGAGAAAAAUGAUAAGAUAAACAAGCCACUUUGCAAACUUUGAAAUUUAGAAGAUUUCUUUCAAACAUAUUGUAAUUUAGAAGGGAGAGAGGAUAUAAACACGAUUGUGGGCGCCGUUGUGGGAGAUGAAGCUGAUUAAUGAACCCUCCUCCACCUACAAAAUUUGAGUACUCUAGUUUUUAAAAAGAUAGAAUACUGAUCCUUUCCACUUCAUCCCUAAGAUAGGUUCUUCUUACUAACAGUUAUUUCUUUCAGCUAUGCUCUGUUAACUCUUUCAGGUAACUCAGUUACCUUUGGUAAGACAUGGUUUGGUUCAUGGAGUCAGGAGGUCAUACUCUGAAUCAUUCAGACCAUGAGUGUCUGCUGGGUUAUUGAUUGUGUGCUCGGAUCAAAGACAAACAGAGACAUAGUGGAAAACUGUUAGUAAAUAGGAGGCUAGUUUGGGAAAUUGUGAAGCAUAUAGCCUUUGUUAUUGAUUGGUUUUAUAUGAAAAGCUUCAAGGUCAGUAACCUCUGGUACCUAUUCCUUUGAUUGUCUGGCCCUUUGGGAAUUAAUUCUUUUCUAAAAUAGGCGCAUGCCUGGUCAUUCAUUCUAUGAAAUAGAUAUUUUCUUGAGAAACUUUUCUUUGUACUAAGUUCAAUCCAUGUAGUGAGACCCAAAAUGGUUCAUCAAAGGGGUAUUUAAAAUAACACAUAGAGUUUGAGCAGAAAAUAAGUUAGAGUGGUUAGUAACAUUUAAAACAUUAUGCAAAUAUACCAUGAAUUAUCACCUUCAUCCUUAUAGAUACUUAUGUUUCAAAGUUAUCUAGUUCAGAUUUUUUUUUAAUUUUAAAGCCUAUCUUUAUCACCCUGUGGUCACUUCCUAACAAAUCAUCCUUUUCAGCCAGCAAAUCUAGGUCAUUUGGAUUAAAAAAUAAGUGCAAUUUCAAAGAGUUUGUCUAGUAAAGACUUUAACUCAGGUUUCUCUACCUUGGCGCCGUGGACAUUCUAGACCAGGCAGUUCUUUGAUGUGUGGGUGUUAAAUGGUGUUUAGCAGCAUCCACUCCAUACCACUAGAUGCCCCAGUUCUGACAACCAAAAAUGUCGCCAAAGAUUGCCAGAAUCACCCACAGUGGAGAACCACUGCAUUAAAGAAACAAUUAUUAUCACCAUUUAACACCAAAAGUGUCGCAAUAAAGGACAAGUCUUCUUGGGGAAGGAUAUAGUGUGAGAAACAAACUGACCUAACAGAAUUUCAAUAUUCUCAUUUUUUGAGAUUGAGUUUACUUGUUUUCUUGAUGUGUUUGACGAAUCUACAUCAGAACAUAGAAGGCGAAGUGGAGUUCAGAUAUCUCACGUGUUCUGUCACUUACAGUCAUUGUAGAAAUUCUAAUUCACGUAGGCCUAUGGAGAUAUUCUAAGCAGACUGGAUAAACUGGCCAGGUGAAGUGGUGGUUUUGGCGUGGUUCCAAAGUGGCCCACAGAUUGAUCAUCGAGAUGUCGCAGUCAGGGCCUCUGACAUCAGGAAGUUUCCUGAGAAAGAUACCAAGGGACCAGUAGGAAGCUUGGUCACCAGCCAGGAGGAAACCCUGGCCUGUGUUGGAGAAUCCAAAGGACUGACUAAUUUGGUUCCCCCUCCGGGUCACUGAUAGGUGCUGAGCAUAAGCCCCAGAGGAGCGCGAUGCAUGAUGAUUCAUGCUGGAGACAUUGCUGCGCCUUCUAGUUCGGCGGGUCUGAAGAAUAGGGCAGAAAUGAUGACUCUUGCUUCUCUCCCACAGGCACUUCUAGUGGAAGUGAUCGCGGGGGCACAUUGUGGGUGGGGGAUCUAGGUUAUGAGUGACCUCAAUAAAAUAAUUCAGCUAUAACUGCUGCCCAGGGGCCAGUUACUCUAUGUAACCCCAGUUCUUUCCAGGAUAUUAAAUUGGUUCCCAGGCUUCAAGUAAAGGCUGGAAACUCUUGGCAUUCCAACAUUAUUGACUCAGUGAAUUUCAAUAGACAAGAUGCAUCUUCCAAAAGAGAAAGUGUUGUGUUGGCACUUACCCUUUGACGUGACUAGUUAGGAGCCCUAUAUGUUCUUAGGGUUUGUCAUAUCCCUUCCGCAGGUGGGGUAGGAAAAUAAAUGAGAACCACUGGGGGCCUGAACAUUUUUGAAAUGCAGAAGGGAAACCUUAACACUGUUCAUUGUAAGAUAUUUCUCAAAUAUUUGUUUUCUGCUAUAAAAGAAGUCUGCAAUUUAGAUGUAGAGUGUUACGUUUAUUUUUUUUAAAGAUGAGCAAAUUGAGCUAAAGAUUGCAGCGUCCCUAAGGUAAUGACAUAUAACAAAUUCAAGAUCUCAAAACUUCCAGGGCCCGUAACUAACCCUCUCAUAACAUGGUAACUUACAGAUUUUACUGGCCCCAAACCUAGCUAAUGUCAGCAUUGAACUAUGUAUAGCUUGGUAUGUGAAUCAUGAUUAAAAAUCCAUGUUUGACGGCUACAUGCCAUUGAAGUUAAAGAAGAACACAGUUUAAAUGGAUAUAAAGCCUAUUUUAUUGCCAAUCAGUUGUCAGUUAAGAAAUAAAUUCAGAUAAAAACUUAAGUGAUCUAGUUAUGAAAAAUGCAAUCCCUUGUUUUAUUUUCUUAUUGCAUACGUGUUUCUGUACUGGCUGUAUGCUGUAGAAUCUGUGGGAGUAGUUUGUCGUGUGUGCAUGGAGGCCUGCGGCAUUCGGACACGUUUUAGGAUCUGGUUCUCUUGUUCUACCCAACAUCUUAAUUGUUGGACUGGGGAUGAUGCUACUAAAAGCUAUGAAAUCAGACUUCUUUCCAAAGUACUGCUCUUGUUUUACAUAAUCUUUUUCCCUUUAAAGAUACUGUCAAUUUCCCCUUAGUUUUUUUUUAAAGGAAAGGGCAUAUUUUAAUUAUGCCUUCUUGGGGUUUGUGUAAAUCACUCCUCGGUCUUUUAUGAGGACUAACUUUAUAUAUACCAGGAGUCAUCAUUAAAAAGUUGAAGGAAUAUAUUGCGUAUUCCCUGUUCUUUUUCAGACUAAUUCUGUAGUAUUUUUAUAAAUCCUGCUCAUCCAGGAUUCUGAGGAAGAAGAGCCAUAUAAAUGCCUGCAGUAGAAAUGUUUCUGUCCCCAUAGCUGUGAAGUUUUAUGUGCUGUGUACAUUUAAAUCAUCACCUGCUGCUUGUGCCUCAUCUCUAUCUCGCCUUCCCUCCUCAGGCAGCGGAGAAUAUUUGUGCCACAUCUUUGAUUCGUAGGUUAUUAGAACAGGAUGGAACUUCAGAGCUUUUCAACCACAGCCUUCUCAGUUUGCAGGCGAAGGAAGCGAGGUCCAGAGAGAUUGAAUGACUUGCCCAAGGACGCACAUCGGAUGCCUAGUAUAAGAAGGAUUGUAACCCUGGACUCCUGGCUCCGGGUCAAGUGUUUUUUUACCAUGGAAAAUUCUCUCCAACAAAUGUAAUACAACUUUUCAAAAAAUCACAGUGUGAACCGGGAAGGGAGUGAACUUUAUUUGAGUAUACUUCAUUAGGGUGAAUUAGUGUUUGCGUAUAUAUGAGUGUAGGUAGUUAACUUUUUUCCUAUUGAAGUAUGUUUAAUUCAAUAUGCUAACUACAAGAAUGAGAGUGAUCUUACUCGGAUGAGGAUAAAUUUAGUUAUUCUCAUGACCCCGUUUUAGGACUAUUGCUACUUGAUAACAUCUUCACAACGUAAGGGAAAGGAAUACACUGUAUGAAGCCCUUAGCUUAAAUUCUUGGAUCACUUUAUAGUUUUUAAAAGUAUGUUUGAAGAAAGUUGAAAAUUAACUUUUAUCUGUAAAUGGCCCUUGAUUUCAAGAUAUCAACAGUUAUAAUCUCAGCUUUCAUGUAACCAAAUUCUAUGAUAUGGAACAAAUACCUGUGCACUUUCAAUUAAUUUUGUUUCAGUUCAUUUCUUUACCAGCAAUUAUUUUGGAAACCUUUUAAUGAAUAUGGUAAAUAUUUUCACAUUCACUGUAUUUGGUACCAACAGAAUAAAAAAAACUACUGAUAAUAUUAUUUAUAGUCUUCCUUCAUUAUAAAUCAGUUUCAGUAACCAAAAUCAAUAAUACAGCUGAUUGGAACUGAUUUUUAUCUUGGAGAGACAGAUGGAAUAAUCACAGCCACUCGGCAUCAAGAAGGUGCUGCAAGAACACCAUGCCACUGGCCAUAGCUGGUAGAGUUUUCUGGAAAGAGUGUUGUUCCAAGUUUUCCUGGGCCAUUGGGAUUCUCAGUGUGUAGCCCAUUUUCAUAUGACAGAGCCAAAAAAAAUUUUAAAACAGUAAAGGUAUCAGUUGGGCUUAUGGCAGACUUGUAUCCCUUCAUUUAUUCUUUAAGUGCUAUUUUCCUGAGUUCCCCCUGCUGUAUGUACCCACUAUUAAGUAACUAGUGAAAACAGGGAGCGCUUUCUAGGCAAAUCAAGUUUUGAUGAUUAUAAUCAGCUCUGGUGUAUGUAUUAUGUAUUUCAUCUGACUUGAAAUUUAUGCUGUGAUUUUUUUAUGAUCUUAAGACCAGUUUCAGUUGCAAUGUUAAGGAUUAUUAGGUAUUUAACAUUGCUCACUAUAUACUAAUAACCUAUUUUAUACUUUAUUUUCCUCCUAAUUUCCAUUUCAGUUUCUUGGAUAAGUAAUUUGAGGUCAUUACUCCCACCCCUUGCCACCUUGUCCACAAAUAAACCAGAUAAAUAAGGCCUCUAAGUAUUAAUUAAUUCUAAACCACAAGAUAAGGUUGAAGAUUUUCUAUAUUUAAUUUACAUUGAAUGUCUAAGUCUUGACUUAAAAAGGCAAAGGAAUAAUUUGCAUAUUCAUGUAAAACGUAAUAAUCUACUCUGCAAUUGCUCUUCUGCAAGGUUCCACCUACUGUCAUUCACUGUAAGAUUCUUGACGUGGAAAUGGGUCUCUCGUCUUGCACAGGGUCCACAGCCGUGACUGCAGGCCCACGUAUAUGGGACCGGAGAGCAAGGGUAUUGGUCUGUGGUAUUAUCCUCUGUGUUUCUAGUUAGGACAAGCUAAAAAAAACAAAACAAAACAUUUCAGGAAAUGAUUUUGCAGAGAUGGAUCAGCAUGCCCAGCCUAUGCUUGAAGUUUUUCAUUUCUUAAUUCUUUAGGCAUUUUUUCAGUCAGUCAAUUCCAAACACUUGGGAUUUCAGUUCUCCAUUUAAUAAAGUAAAACAAUAACAUCUUAUUCCACUAAAAUUAAGUCACCAUUCUGUGGUUUAUGGAAAAUAUAAUGGAUUCCCCUAAAGAGAGAGGGGAACCACUAGGUUUUGCUCUGUCUUCUCACUGGAAAACUAAGACACAGGCCAGUUUCAUUGCAGAGAGGUUUCAGGUUCACGAUAAUGGUGAGUUGACUUGUGGGCCUUGGGAAAUGGGAAUACGCCUUAGCUCGUCACCACGCACAUUCAUCGCCGGUUCCCCCUUAAGCACUUGGAGAAAUAGAAGGGGCACGCGGGUCGAAAUGGAAAGAGCAGAGAAAAACUGAAACAGCUGUACAGGUGGCUAAUUUUGGCUUCGAUAGGGUUUUCAUAAUGGCUCCAGUAGGAAGUCUUUGUAGCAUGAAGUCAUUAUUCUACUUUCAUGUAUUUGGAAUCCUUCUUAAGCAGUCAGGGAAAUGAGAAACCCUUUCAUGUUUCAGGUGGACUUUGGUAAACUAUUGUAUGCUUCAUUCUCCACAAUUUAGUUUCCUGGAUUCCAGAAAAGUUUAUUCUUGUAAUUCAAUCAGUUCUUUCUCUUCUGAAAACUCUGAAUCCCAAGAACUGCUAUUUCAGGCCAACAUAACACUUUACUCACGUUAAUACGUGCAUAGGUAUUAAAAUGGGUGAGAUUAAAUUCCCAAAUGUGUUGGGGUGUAUUUGUUUAUAAAUCACAGGUGUGGUCACGGUCAAGUCUCCAGAUGGCUUUUGGAGGAAUAUAAGUUAAUAGGGUUCUGUUAAGGAAACGCAUACAGGUGCAGAUGACUUUGAAAGGCAGGAAAAUUUACCACUGCCUUUAUCAUGGCUUGAUGAAAAUUAAGGUAUGUGUGGUCAGGAGGGCCACAUAAAUAGCGACAAGGGUCAUAUGACAAAGCUACGCAAGUCUGGGGUAUGUGUGUGGUUUAAAAUGGCAAGUAUAAUAUGGUAAGUUCUGGAAUACCUUGGGAAAAAGGUUUAGAUAUAAAAUCUUAAGUAGAAAGCCAACUACUAAGGUAUUCUAGAUACCAUGUAACUGGCAAGUGACUUAAACCAUUAAUAUAUAUGUCUUUGAACAGAACCACAUGUAAGACGAGGUAAUAUAUGAGUUGACUAAAGUGUUCUGACCAGAGGCUGUCAGGAUCCUCUGUUUCUCUCCUAGGAGCAGUUGUUACAUAUUUUCACUAACUUGGUGUUUAAAGUGACUUUAUGGAACAUAACUAUCAUGAGUAAUGGGAUUCAACCUUAAUUUUUUUUCUUUUUAAAAGAUUGAGUUCUAUGUGCAUUUGUGUAUUUCUUUUGGGGGGGGUAUUUUUAUUUUUUAAUCAUUUUUAAAAAUACAUUUUAUUGAUUAAGCCAUUACAGUUGUCUCAUUUCCCCCCUUUAUUCCUCUCCACCCUGCGCACCCCCUCCGCCACAUACCCCCUUUAAUUCAUGUCCAUGUGUCACAAGUGUUUUAGCUUCUGCAUUUCCCAUACUAUUCUUGCCCUCCCCCCUAUCUAUUUUCUACCUACCAUCUAUGCUACUUAUUCUCUGUACAUUCUCUCCCCUUCUCCUCCUCCCACUCCCCUGUUGCUAACCCUCCAUGUGAUCUCCAUUUCAGUGUUUUCGCUCCUGAUUUAGUUGUCUACUUAGUUUGCUUUUGUUUUAGGUGUGGUUGUUAAUAACUAUGAGUUUGCUGUCAUUUCACUGUUCAUAUUUUUUAUCUUCUUUUUUCCUAGGUAAGUUUCUUUAACAUUUCAUAUGAUAAGGGCUUGGUGAUGAUGAACUCCUUGAACUUGGCCUUAUCUGACAAGCACUUUAUCUGCCCUUCCAUUCUAAAUGAGAGCUUUGCUGGAUAGAACAAUCUUGGAUGUAGGUCCUUGCCUUUCAUGACUUGGAAUACUUCUUUCCAGCCCUUUCUUGCCUGUAAGGUCUUUUUAAUCAUUUUAUUGUUGUUCGAGUAUAGUAGUCUGCACUUACUCCCCACCACUUGUGCAUUUCUUCUUAAUGUUGUAUUAUGACCACUUUCCUGUGUCAUUAAAUAUUCCUCAAUAUCUUUUCAAUUAUAUGUAGCAGUACAAUAUACAAAUGGGCUUUCAAGUCCUUUUGGUCCUGGCUGCAUGGCUGGCUCAGUUGGUUGGAGCAUCAUCUGUACACCAAAAGGUUGCAGGUUUGAUCCCCAGUCAGGGCAAGUACAAGAAGCAGCCAAUUGAUGUUUCUUUCAUGUUAAUAUUCCUCUCUCUCUCCCACUUCCUCUCUCUAAAAUCAAUUUUUAAAAAAAAGCAAAACAAAAAAAAAAACAUAUCCUCGGGUGAGGAUUAGAAAAAAAAAUCCUUACAUAGAACACGUACUAG
Artibeus jamaicensis (Jamaican fruit-eating bat) is the source of this 18147-nucleotide long non-coding RNA. RefSeq lists it as uncharacterized. The transcript has 2 exons. NCBI's taxonomy places the organism in Eukaryota, Metazoa, Chordata, Mammalia, Chiroptera, Phyllostomidae. The record is from RefSeq and is a predicted model, not a curated record.